Molecule: unclassified non-coding RNA, 251 nt
Filed under: Glomeraceae sp.
Lineage: Eukaryota; Fungi; Glomeromycota; Glomeromycetes; Glomerales; Glomeraceae
Description: partial contains 5.8S ribosomal RNA and internal transcribed spacer 2
Rfam family: 5.8S ribosomal RNA (bases 1-72)
Source: RNAcentral
GUGAAUCAUCAAAUCUUUGAACGCACAUUGCACUCUCCGGUUUUCCGGGAGAGUAUGCCUGUUUGAGGGUCAGCCUAAAAAAAAUCGACAUUGUUGCUGUUAUUUAAUGGUGACUUUCGUCGGAGAUUGGGUUCUCUUAAACCUUUUUUUUUUUUGGUUUAUGCGACUUAAACUUUUUAUUCACGUUUCCCUGAACGUUUCUUAGCUUUUUAUUUUUUAUAUGUUUAGGGUUUUUCGAUCUUUUAUUUUAC